This 372-nucleotide unclassified non-coding RNA is filed under the name fungal sp. Its description in RNAcentral is "partial internal transcribed spacer region". The stretch from base 1 to 46 matches the Rfam family "Eukaryotic small subunit ribosomal RNA", at positions 1786 to 1831 of the family's 1831-position model. Lineage: Eukaryota; Fungi. The record is from RNAcentral.
AAGUCGUAACAAGGUAUCCGUAGGUGAACCUGCGGAUGGAUCAUUAACACGUAUCCACGUAUCUACACCCUGGUCACUUGUUUCUCUCCCGCCCUGUCGACUCACAUGAAUUGGAAGGUGCGUCCCUACUUGGAAGAAAUUUUUUUUUUCUUUGCUAACAAUUGUAGUGUUGCGACAGGCUAUUUUCCAAUAAAACAAUUUUCACCACUUUUGCGAGUUGAUUUUUUUCAGUAUCUGUCUAUUUUUUCUGGUUGUGUUCUCCGUAAUUCAGUUUACGUGAGAGAUGACUCGUUUCGAAAGGAACGAAAAAAUGAAAAAAGAAAAUAUAUUACAACACCUUUACAACUCUUAGCAAUGGAUAUCUUGGUUCUC